RNAcentral lists this ribosomal RNA (597 nucleotides) under Pseudomonas putida. RNAcentral describes it as "bacterial SSU rRNA". It matches the Rfam family "Bacterial small subunit ribosomal RNA", at positions 59 to 651 of the family's 1533-position model. Lineage: Bacteria; Pseudomonadati; Pseudomonadota; Gammaproteobacteria; Pseudomonadales; Pseudomonadaceae. The record is from RNAcentral.
AAGUCGAGCGGAUGACGGGAGCUUGCUCCUUGAUUCAGCGGCGGACGGGUGAGUAAUGCCUAGGAAUCUGCCUGGUAGUGGGGGACAACGUUUCGAAAGGAACGCUAAUACCGCAUACGUCCUACGGGAGAAAGCAGGGGACCUUCGGGCCUUGCGCUAUCAGAUGAGCCUAGGUCGGAUUAGCUAGUUGGUGAGGUAAUGGCUCACCAAGGCGACGAUCCGUAACUGGUCUGAGAGGAUGAUCAGUCACACUGGAACUGAGACACGGUCCAGACUCCUACGGGAGGCAGCAGUGGGGAAUAUUGGACAAUGGGCGAAAGCCUGAUCCAGCCAUGCCGCGUGUGUGAAGAAGGUCUUCGGAUUGUAAAGCACUUUAAGUUGGGAGGAAGGGCAGUAAGCUAAUACCUUGCUGUUUUGACGUUACCGACAGAAUAAGCACCGGCUAACUCUGUGCCAGCAGCCGCGGUAAUACAGAGGGUGCAAGCGUUAAUCGGAAUUACUGGGCGUAAAGCGCGCGUAGGUGGUUUGUUAAGUUGGAUGUGAAAGCCCCGGGCUCAACCUGGGAACUGCAUCCAAAACUGGCAAGCUAGAGUACGG